This 253-nucleotide ribosomal RNA is filed under the name uncultured bacterium. Its description in RNAcentral is "partial 16S ribosomal RNA". It matches the Rfam family "Bacterial small subunit ribosomal RNA", at positions 524 to 776 of the family's 1533-position model. The record is from RNAcentral.
UACGGAGGGUGCAAGCGUUAAUCGGAAUUACUGGGCGUAAAGCGCACGUAGGUGGUUUAUUAAGUCGGAUGUGAAAGCCCCGGGCUCAACCUGGGAACUGCACUCGAUACUGGUAAACUAGAGUAUAGUAGAGGCAAGUGGAAUUCCAGGUGUAGCGGUGAAAUGCGUAGAUAUCUGGAGGAACAUCAGUGGCGAAGGCGACUUGCUGGACUAAUACUGACACUGAGGUGCGAAAGCGUGGGGAGCAAACAGG